Molecule: ribosomal RNA, 253 nt
Filed under: uncultured bacterium
Lineage: Bacteria
Description: partial 16S ribosomal RNA
Rfam family: Bacterial small subunit ribosomal RNA
Source: RNAcentral
UACGUAGGGUCCGAGCGUUGUCCGGAAUUACUGGGCGUAAGGAGCUCGUAGGUGGUUUGUCGCGUUGUUCGUGAAAACUCACAGCUCAACUUCGGGCGUGCAUCCGAAACUGCCCGACUAGAGGUAGGUAGGGGAGAUCGGAAUUCCCGGUGUAGCGGUGAAAUGCGCAGAUAUCGGGAGGAACACCUAUGGCGAAGGCAGCUCGCUGGGACGUUACUGACGCUGAGACGCGAAAGCGUGGGGAGCAAACAGG